Sarcophilus harrisii (Tasmanian devil) is the source of this 15148-nucleotide long non-coding RNA. NCBI's taxonomy places the organism in Eukaryota, Metazoa, Chordata, Mammalia, Dasyuromorphia, Dasyuridae. The record is from Ensembl.
UUGGCUUUUCCAGGCAGGGCCCAGAAAGGCUGGGCCUGUUUCCUCUUAACUCCGGAUCUUUCCAUUUCACCAAACUGCCUCCUCAGCCCUGGCUGACUAGCCAAGUGACCUCAGGAAGUCCCUCAGAUCUCCAGGCCUUGCUUCCUCAUUUGUAAGGAGACUGGAACUUAAUUUGGAGUCCUAAGACCCAAGUUCAAAUUCUGAUUGUUUCUAAUGAAAACUAACAUUGGUAGCCAUCUGUAGCAUGGGAGAGAAAGAGGGGAGAAAAUUACAAAAGAAAAUUACUAAUAACUUGGUUGUUUAUUUUAAAAAGAAAAUUACAAAAUAACUUUUUGUUUAUUUUAAAAGCAAGGUACUCGUAAUAGAUCGGCGGUUUCAGAUGCAAUACUCUUUUUUCUUCCGUUUCAUUUUGUUAUGGCAAUGGCUGCUUUAUUUCUUAAAUUCAGAAUAAAAAAAAGAUAAAAAAAUUCAACAUUUGCUCAUCACUUUAAUACUUGCAAAUCUAUGCAUAUGUAUUCCCCCGUUGGCUUUUCACCGCUCUGGGAGCAGGGUUAAGUGGUUGCCAGGAUCUCCAUCCUUCAGAUGAGGACGUAGGUUGGGAAGGGUUCCGUGACCCACCCAGAGUCGCCCCUUAUUUCCUUCCUUUGCCCGCCUAUGGCUGGCUCUGUUUAGCGGUUUGCACGCAGUCCUCGCUCUUAGAUUGUAACCUCCUUGAAGGCAGGGGCUCUCUUCAUGCCCGACCCCCGGCAUUUAGCGCGGCGCUUGGCAACAGUUGGGGCUUAACGUUACGAGGGAACGAUGGCGGCCGAGCUGCCUCCAACCCACACCCAGGCCGGGCGCUGGGCCCGAGCCCCGGCCGGUGCAGGGCGGCCCCUCGGCCUGCACGCCCAGCGGGCUCCGGGUCCGGGGAGCGCCGGCCCAGCCCGGGCUGCGGCGCGGUCCCCGGCCCAGGCUGCGCUGCGCAGACGCGGCCGCUAGGUGGCGGGGCCCCGCGAGCAGAGCGUGGGAAGCGCCCGGGCUCGGGGGCUGAGCUCACACGCUGGCUCGGCGGCCGCUGCAGAAGAGCCGGCGGCCGGCCGGGCGGCUGCCCGGGCUCCAGCCUCCGGGGGACCCCUCCGGGGGGCCCCCUCCCCAAGCGCCGCCCCGCUCCGGAAGCCGACUCAGAAGCAAAGCUGCUUGGCACAUGAGAGUGGGGGACAUCUGGCCCAGCCAAGUCCUCUGCAGCACUUGUUCCUGAAACAAACAUGUUCUGGUGUCUCCGUGUGCCUGGGUCUGCUUGACUGUUUCACCCCCUCCCCCAAACUACCCUGGAUGGGCACUGGGACCCAGACAGUAUGAAUCUCUGCUCUGGGCCCUACUGGAAGGCCGAAGACCCCGUGCGUGUGAAUUGGACCGGACACAAGAGAGCAAGGCAGCCACCUUCACCCCUGGCCGGGGGCUGGAGGAGGCCUGGAAGACCUCAGCCAGGCCUUCCGAAGAACUUUCCUCAGGAACAUAUGACUCAGCAGUUGGAUUCCCAGGGGGACAGAGGCCCCGAAGUUCUCCCUGCUAUGGUUGGAGUCCACACCUCUGGAACUUGGCACCUGAUCUUGGAAGGCCAGAGGGGUAAGUCGGUUUCAUUUUGGAUUCCUCGGGCUACAGUUCACCCUGGCUCCCCGGAUUUCCUGGCAGAAGACCCCCUGGUGGGGGGGUAGGAGGGGUGAUCCCUGCCAUCAGAUAGUCAAGUGGGGUUCUCGGUUCUCACUGCAUUGGGCCCAAAGGCCCCCUGAGAAAUCCGGAGGAACCUGGGUUUGGGGAAAAGCCAGCCUGUGAAUUACCCCUGACCCCUUCGUAGCAGAAAUAGUUAAUGUGAUGGUGGUCCUAGGAUGGCGACGAACCGUCCUUUAGGGACUUCAGAAGAUGAGCUGGGAUGCCGUUGGGCUGGGUUCUGGGGACCAUCUCCCAGAGUUCAGCAAGGCUCUGCAGGGGGGUCUCAGGGGAAGAGUUGAGCCUGCUGAGGGGAGGGUCUCGAAGCCCCAGAGCAUCCAAGGUGGUGGGUGAUGACAGGCCACCCAAAAGUGUGGCCAGAGAGGCGGGGUGAAGGCCCAACUUUUUUUUUUGGUCUUGUUUGACCAGCCUUGGCACUGCCCCCCCCCCCCAGCUCUCCAGGGGAAAGCUGCAAUUCUGCUAUUGCAACACAGGGAGCAGACUGGAGAAUUUAGAUCUGCGUCACACAGCUCAGAGAGAGAGAGAGGGAGAGAGAGAGGGAGAGCUCCGUCGAUAGGUCUGUUAGCAACAGCCCUGCAGCAGCAGCAGCAGCAGCAGCAGCAGAGAGAGAGAGAGAGAGAGAGAGAGAGAGAGAGAGAGAGAGAGAGAAGUAAUAUCAACAUUGAGGACUAGGUCCUGCCAACCCACUUGCGAAGCUUUCAGAGAUGUAUUGGGGACAUCGCAGCCCGUGGGAGCUCGGGCAGAGAAGAUGGCAUGCAAGGUGGCAGGAUGGCUCUGUGGGGAAGGAGGCUGGGGGGGCAGAGGUUGGGGGGCGAUGGCAGGCUCCGCCGGGGACGAAAUUCUGGAACAUUCUGUCCUGCGACACCAUACGGCAAGUUGGAUGGAGAGCCGGGACUGCGCAGGAGGCGACAGGCAGUUGUGACGGGCUCCCAGACUUGGUGGUGUGUACCCCUUCUUCCCCCACGUAUGUAUAUUCUGGGAUCGGGGGCGAUUCUUCUGUGGAGGGGGGUGCUUUCUCUCCUCAUCGCUUUUUUUUUUUUUUUUGGCUGUUUCCCUUUAAUUUUUCCACUUUAAUUUCCAUUCUCCUUAGGGUGAGUUAGUCCAAACUGACAUGGGUCAUGAGGAAGGAAACAGACUCCCCCUCCCCCCUCCAGGUUCCACUUCCAUCCACACCUUGAGCCCAGCAGGAGGUCCCUUUCUUUAGGAUGGACAGAUGACUCACCCUCUCUUUGGGUAUCUGUCUGUCAAUCAACAGAGUUGUGAUGCAGAAACGUUAGUGGGGGGGCCAGGGAAAGAAAAGGUGAAGGGACAACUUGGUUGGGGGCUCCCUGGCCCAAGGUCUGGCCAUGGGAGCGAGCGUCAGGGUCUGGGUGGAGCGGGAAGGGGGGUGGGACCCGGGCGCCCGGGUGGGGGCUGAGACUGUGGCAGGUUUGUCACUGCGUAGUUGGGGGAACUAAGUGGCGAGUGGUGACGCAGUCAUGGGCACAUCUGAGGGGGGCAGGGGAUCGAGGCUCCCCGAGUCUGCCGAGCCCCGCUGAGAGGGUUAAGGAUGAGCCGAGAAGGGGAAGCCAGCAUUUAGAGAUUAAAUGUCAUCCUUCUGGCGUUGCAAAGUUGUUUACCUUGCAUUCUCUGUGUCUCCAUGUUGGCAUCUCUCCAGUUCCCAUGUGAUGGCCUUCCCUGUACUGCUGCAUCAUUAACUAAGUGGCAGGGCUGGCCCUUCAUUGGCCAGGGGAGGGCUCAGGCUCCAGACACUUCCUCCCAUUGGUGAGAAGGGUGAUGGCAGGUGAAAAGCUCUUUUGGAUUGGCCGAGAACUGGGUAUCAAAUCUGAAUUUCCAUUUCACUGGAGAAAAAAAGGGGGGUAGUGUGGCGAUGAUGGUUGGAGCGUGGAGGGGGGCACCGGGCAGUUCGGAUCUCUGAAAGCUCUUCAGGGGCGUGUGUGUGUGCAACAGUGCCCAGGGUGCUUGGAGGCGGAAGCUCCUGGGCAUCCGAAGGACCCACAGGGCCAGCUUGAUUGCAUUUGCUCCUUAGGUGUAAGAAGAUCUUGCAGCUGUACAAACUUUUUUUUAAAUGGGUUUUUUUUUCUGGAGGGGGAGAAGAGUUGAUUUGAGAGGCAUGAGGGAUGGCAGAAGAGUUGACAGCCUCAGAAGAAAAGCUGCCUGGGCUUAUUUGAUUUCAAAAGAGGGAGUUUCCAGCUGUCACUGGCCGCACCUUGGUGUUGCAGCAAAUAACUCCCAACUCUCCUGGAAAUGCGUGGGCAAGGUAGGGCUGCGGCUGCUGCCUCCCGGGGCGGCCUCCAGACUGCUCCCCGGGGACCCGAGGUUUGCACUGACGUCCGGAGGUAGCCAUAGGUCCUCAGAGGCCAGCCUCGCGUCGGGGAGGACUGGCCUUCCUCACGUCAUCCUCAGGUGGAUGGGUGCUGGGGGAGAGGAAUGCCAUGAGGAAUGGCCCCGGAUGUUAGCCCCUGCGCUGGGUGGGCUUUCUCUAAGAGCUGAUGGAAGAAAGAGCUUCCUGACCUGCAUCGAAGGAGAGGAGAAUUGGGAGAGAGAAACUGGGGCAGCAGCUGCUGGGGGGAAUCUGAAAAAGAAAUGUUUAUCGAGAUCGUCAUCCUUCCCUUAAAUGGAGGUCCCAAGUUUGCCGUAGAUGUUCAGGUAAGAAAUAGAUAGGCCCCUUGAGCUCAGCUAUCCUCCCCCCCCCACCUCCCGAGUGGGUCAUGAAAGCUCCGUUGUGCCCCGGCCGUCCACCCCAGCGCCGCAGUGCACCCUGGAGUUUUGGCCGGCGGCUCGUGCCCCCCCAUUUCUUAUGUAACCGUGUUAUGUGCCUUCUCUCGUCCUCUGGCACGGCCCUCGCCCCGUUGGGGUGCAGAAAGCCCAGGAGGGAGGUCCUGGCUGGGGGAGAAAUUAGUGAACAAGGCUGCUCACCAGCCCCUGAGUGGUUGCGCAGUUGGCAAUACGGGCUGGGCGUGAGGGCAGAUUCCACCCUGUCCCUGCCUUGUCACCAGUGGUUUCCUGGGAACAUCUGCCUUGGAGAGAGAACGGUCCCUUUCAACUUCCUUCUGUAACUCAGCUCAUUUUGGAGGGGGGGAGAGCUUUCCAAAGGAGAAGGUAUGAUGGCUAACAAAGUAAGAUUUUAAAAAAAAAUUUUUUUUUAAGCAAAGAUGGAGGUCGGAUGGGAUGGCGUAGUUCUUGUGACUUUCUCGGGUCAUCCCGAUCCCGGUUGUUUUUCUUGUCCUUUUUUAAUUGUUUGCCCCUGGACAGUGGUCUUGAAUCCAGAUGCUUUCCUGUUGCUUGUCUUGGGGAGGUGUCCAUCAGUCCCUGCCAUGGUGGAGUGGGCUUCUGCGGCCCUACUGCGCCAAUUGCGCAGAACGGGCGGGGGCCGAUGCGGGGAGGGGGGAGGAGAUAGAGAACCCGGCUACUGCAGAAGCAGCAGAGGACGUAGUGGAGGUUGCGGCAGUGAGAGGAGGAGGUUCUCGGAGCCGGGAAGGGCUUGUUGUGCCCACCCUUACCCCGAGACCCAGACUUUGGGAAACAUGAUUAUUGUUCUUGGGACUUAUGGCUGUGUUGGGCAGGGCCCUCGCCAGUCAGAAAGUGUUUGGAGGCACAGACUGCAACGAUCCCCUCCUCGGAGAAAGUCCUGACGCACUUUGGGGUGGGGUGGCUGACGUAGCCCAGAACGUGAGAAGCAUCGGCCGUGGGGCCCGUGUUCCCGGCAGCCCAUUCUUCGACCACCGGCUGUGACGGGACGUGAAUCAGGUUUUGCUGCUUUCCAUGGCGUUUUGUGUAUGUCGAGAAUCCCGGGGGGGAUUUGAAGGUCACCCCUUCGUUUUACAGGUGAGGAAACUGAGGUUUGGGGAGGCUGUAAUUACGUAGAUAGUAGUAAAUACCAAGCCCAGGUAUCCAGCUGGCUUCUUCCGACUCUCUACUAUGUCACGUAGACUAUAUAACACAGGAUACCCCUUGAUUCUUUCCUUUACAUCCUUAUUUACAUAUCCCAUGUAUACCAGCCCUAAUUGGAAAAUUGGGAGAGUCAUUUAGGAGUGGGGAGUAAGGAACUAGAAGGAAGGGGUAUUUGUAAUGCAAGGAUUGAUGAGUUGAUUCUUCUCGUGGGUACCCCUUCCUGAGAUCGCCCAUGGUUUGCUACAUCAUCUCCUCCUCCUUCCGUGCAAAAUGUGCCGUCGUCCCUGAAAUUUGUCAUCCUUGCUCCCCGAAGAACCUCCAGGGGGCCACCUCUCUCCCUGCUCCUUGGCUCACAGCUUGGAGGACCGGCCCCCAGGUGGCCUCUUUUGGUAUUGUGGCCGCCUCAUGAUCCUUUCCCCCACCUCUCCUCCUCCUCCUCCUCUCAAGAGACAGUGGAUGAGAUCCUAGGGCCUCAGAAGCCUGUGACCAUAGAGCCUCAGCUCUGGCCGAACCUGCUAAGAGCAGUUGGUCUCAAUGAUGAGGUGCCCAUCACCAGGGGAUGGAGAGCCACAGGAGAAGUGGGGGACCAUGUCCUAGGGGCCGAUACCUGUGUCAGUGGAGGGACUAGUCACCCAUGUGGAAGGAUGGCUUCUUAGUGAUGUUAAACUAAGAUGGAUGACCAAGGAUUGAUACCUGUGUCAGUGGAGGGAAUAGCCGUCCACUUAGAAGGACAACUUUUUGAUCAUGUUAAACUAAGGUGGAGAACCAAGGAUGGUCCAGUUUAGGAGAACAUUGUCUAGGGGCUAAUCUUGUGUCAGUGGAAGGAGUAGCUGCCCAGAUGGAAGGAUGGCUUCUUAGUGACGUUAAACUAAGGUGGAUGACCAAGGAUGGUCCAGUUUAGGAGUUCAUUUCCUAAGGACUGAUACCUAUGUCGGUGGAGGGAGUAGCUGCCCAGAUGGAAGGAUGGCUUCUUAGUGACAUCAAACUAAGGUGGAUGACCAAGGAUGGUCCAGGGUAGGAGACCAUUGCCUAGGGGCUGAUCCUGUGUCAGUGGAGGGAGUAGCUGCCCAGAUGGAAGGAUGGCUUCUUGGUAAUGUUACACUAAGGUGGAUGACCAAGGAUGGGUCAGUUUGGGAGACCAUUUCCUAAGGGCUGAUACCCGAAUCAAUGGAGAGACUAGGCACCCACAUGGAAGGAAGGCUUCUUGAUCAUGUUAAACUAAAGUUGAUGACCAAAGAUUAUUCAGUUUCCCUUGAGACUCUCCCUUUAGAGAGCACAUUAAUAUCUCAAAAUUCCAAGUCUUCACAUGCCCUCUUCUGCUUUAUUUGUUCAUUUAACUGACAUACUAAAUAACCUGCUGUGUGCAAGACACUGGGGAAGGUAUUACAUAUUGCCUUUGAUCUGGAGGAGUUCACAAUCCAGUUGGGUGGGAGAAAAAGGGAUGGACUGGGACCCUCUGGUUUCAUUGGUAUAGGGAACGCCCAGUGAGGAAUCUCUUUUUUUCCAAAGAUUACCCAUCAGCGCCUGCUUUGCCACUUUGAGAGCUGCCUGGAGCUCCGAGGUCAGUGACUUGUAUCGGAUCGCACCAUCAGGAUGUGCCAGGGAUGCAGGAUUCUCUCCUCUCAGAGGGCUCAUCAGAAUGCCCAUGAUGGAUGCUGAGCCACAGAAACAUUGUUGGAGAACCUAGAACCUCCCUGGCCCAGCACUGUGUUUUGCAUAUAAUAGCCCCUGAAUAAAUGCUUAUUGGAUUGGAAUGAACUGAUUAAAUCAGCGAUCUUUGAAUUCCUGAAGUAAAUUUCUCCAGAAACCAUCUGUCAGCCUGUGUUAGAGACAUUUAUCAGGCUUUCAGGGAUGCAGGUGGCCGUGAGUCAUGGAAUGCCAGGGCUCUGGAGAAUGAAAGGUGUGCGUCACACAGAGAAGUGAUGGUGGGCGUCUGGCGUUGGCUGCGCAGGUGCGUUGUCAGCACGGCGGGGGGAAGGUGGGCCAGCCGCGUGGAGAGUGAGAGAACCAGUGGGCGGUCCACCUGAAGGUAAGCAACUGCUCCGAACCCACAGGCAUUUAUUAGGUACCUGCUGUGUGCACGGACAUUGCUGGGGGGGGGGGGGGGUCAAAAUCUUCAAGGAACUUUCUGCUUCAUUGGGGGGUGGGAUGCAACAUGUGAAGACAAAUAUAUACAUGGUCCUUUGACACGAAGGGAGAAAAGAGCAUCAACAAUUAAAGAUUUCAGGAAAGGUUUCCUAUAGAAAAGGAUGUCAUUCCUAGGAUUAAAUACAAAAUCUUGCACUUGGCAUUUAAAGUCCUAGACAACAUGGCUCCCAUCCACCUUUCUAGGACCCUAGAGGUACAGACUUGGAGUUCAGAUGAGAGGUUAGAGACACACACACACACAGGUUACAUAUAUGUAUGCAUGCAUGUGUGUGUGUACACACAUGCUUAUGUGUACCUUUAUUGUAUGUGUGCAUGUGUGUAUAUGAGUAUGUUUAUGGAUAUAUGUAAUAUGUGUGUAUAUGUACAUAUAUUUGAGAGGCUUUUACAGAAGAAUGAUAAUUGAAUCCAUGGAAGCUGAUGAGUUUAUUACAACAGGAUGUAAAAAAGACUAAAGAAGAGCACCUUCAACACAGCCUUGGGAUGUACUAAGCAAAGUUGGUGAGCCAAAAUGACUUGGAAGGGGUUAGACAGGUAGGAGAAUAAGGAUAGAGCAUUAUCAUCAAGACCCAUGGAGAGGAGAUGGUUUCCAAGAAGAGGGAAUGGUCAGCAGUGUCACAAAGCUUCAGAGGGAUCAAAAAAGAGGAAAACUCUGAUAAUAGGUUAACAGAGUUCACAGGAAUAGUUAAGAGAGCAUUGGUGAAGAUCAGAAUGCAAGGCGUUGAGAAGUGGGAAGUGAUGAAGCCUUUUUCUAGGAAUUUGGCCACAAGAGGGAGAAGAGAUAUACAAUAUAAUGGCUUGAGAGGAUGGAAACAUAGAAUAAGGGGGAAAGGGAGCUUUUUUCUUGGCAAAACAAUAAUCAGGAUUCUCUUCUUUAAGACAGGGGAGAUUUAUGGGGAAGUAACCACACUGAUAAAGUCCUAGGUCCAUUGAAGAUUAUCUAAAGGUUGUCUCCAGUUCAUUUACUGGAUCUUCCUUGAGCAACUUGGGAAGGCAGAGUAAGAGGAGGCAUGGAGGGGUUGUCAAUCUGCCCUGGUGAGGGAGUUCCACCAUUGAGUUCAGAGAUCCAUUCAAGUAUCAAAACGCUUUAUUUAAUUGGGCCCCAUGAAGGCCUAUGUGGCUGGCUUCCAAGGAUUAGCUCGGAUAUGUGCUGAGAGACUCAUCAACCAGAAGGUUGGUCACUAGGUGAUGAAUUAUUUUGGCUACAGAAGCAAAUAGACUAUGAAUGCUAAGGUGUGGAGAGGUUGCCAUCUGCUUCCUUGGAGGGUGCAACCAUGCCAAUUAAAUCAUAGAUCCCUGAAGCAUUGGAGGAAUUAUUAUUUAACAGUUCUGGUCUGGGGUUCAUUUAAAGAUGGAUUCUGAGUGAGAGAAUUCUUUCUUUUGGGAGGAAGAUAGACAGAGAUAGAGAAAUAGAGACAGAGAGAAACAGAGAAAGAGAGAGAGCAGAUAGACACAGAGAGAGGGAGACAGACAGAGAGAAACAAAGAGAGAAACAGUGAGAGAGAGAAGAGACAAAGAAAGACACAGAGAGAGGGAGACAGAAACAGAAAGAGUGAGAGAGAAACGAGAGAGAGGGAAAGAGAAACAAAAGAGAGGGAAAGAGAAACAGAGAAGAGAGGGAAAGAGAAGCAGAGGGAGACAGAGAGAAACAGAGUGAGAGAGAAAGAGAAGAGAGGGAAAGAGAAACAGAGAGAAGAGACAGAGAUAGACACAGUGAGAGGAAGACAGGGAAAGAAACAGAGAGAAGAGAGGGAAAGAGAAACAGAGAGAGGAGACAGAGAGACAGACACAGAGAGAGGGAGACAGAGAAACAGAAAGAGUGAGAGAGAAACAGAGAGAGAAAAGAGGGAGAAACAGAGAAGACAGAGUUUAUAAAGCCCUACUUCUUGUCAGCUUGCUUUCCUUGACCUUUAUGGCUUUGGGUGAUGGAAGAUCUCUGAGCGGGAGGGAUGUUUAUGGGCAUGGAGUGAAAGAAACGACUCCCAUAGAAGGAGUAUUACUUUGCUGAGUUUUCAGGAUGAGGCUCUCUGAAGGGUUGUAGUUGGUUCCUAUUGUUUGAAUUGCCUGGUGAGGUUUUGGUUUUAAAGGUGCUAUAUGAAGUUGGACUAAAGCAGGUUCCUUUCACUGGGGAGUCAUUAGUGACUCAGUGAGGCUGGGGAGGGUUAGGGGGCUUUGUGUCCUUGGGACCUUUCUGUGAGUCUCUUGAAAUACCAUGUUUAUCUGAUAAGUAGCAGCCCUGCAGUCUUUGAGGGGAUGCUCCAUGAGGGAUAAUGAGCAGCUCUUUCUAUUUUACAUGGAGAUUUAUAAGAAGUUUGCAGUGUGGUGGAUUUCAGUUAGAUAUUGGGCAGAACUUCUGGAUCAGAUCAGGAGAAACCAGACCAACAGGCAGUGGUUAGGGUUUUCUAAGAAAAGGGGCUAAUUUAUCAGUUGACUCCAGGAUAGGGAUUUGUGGAAGUGCAUUGUUGGAGACAAGCAACUUUUCAAGAGCCUUCUUGGCCUUGGCAUAAUUACAUGACUGCCACAUGUUCUGAUAGCUAAGGAACUGGGUUACCGUGGCCCUCGCCCCCUUUCUGCUUCAGGGUCUCUCUUUACUCCGUGCUGUAGCUGCUGAGCCAAGAGGCUUGAAUUGUGUUGUACUAGAGUAAAUGCUUUGUCCUGGCAACCCACCCCCUAACCUGACUUGUGUGGGCUCCUGGAACUUGCCCCAGAAAUAGCUUUUUUUUUUUAUGAGAAUAAAAAAAAAAGAAAAGGAAAAAAAAAGGAAGAAAAAGGCCCAUGAGGGCAUGUUCCCACCAAUCCCUCCCAGGGAGGAGCCUCAGGCUGGGUGGGACCUGUAGCCACAGGCCUGGGCACUGCCCACCUGCCCCGCAGCCAGGAAUUCUGGUAGUUGUGUAGGAGGGAGCUCUGUGGUCCAACAGGGUAAAUUUGGCACCACUAUCCAGAGAUGAUUUUUUGAAGGUUGGGGGGGAAGGGACAGAAGUAGAAUUGUGUGCAUCCCUUGCCUUCCCUAUAGCUCUACCUGUGAAUAAGGUAGAGAUCUACCGAGACAUGGCCGUCAUUCGUGCUGAAAUGGCUGGGAUGGUACUGGGUGAAUAGUGGUGGUUUAAGGUAGAGCCUCACCUGGGGAACAGGAAGUACAUGUGCAUGUUUCUUAGUUAAGAACUGGACGGUCCAGAGCUUGGAAAAAUAAAUAAAGAUACAGCUAAGUAUAGAUUUUAAUAGAAGAGCAAAGUCUGCUGUUCAGAAGAACUAUUUGAAAUCGGACAGUUUUUCUUUUUGUAGUUAGCAUAAUGCAGGACCCAUUGUAAAGGCCUACUGAAUGCUUCUCCAUCGCAUCCCAUUGCCUGGGGAUUGGCGGGGGGGCCGUGAGUUCACUGCCGUUGGUCUUUCCCUCUUGGGCUACUGGAAAGGGUAGGACAAGAGCCAGCAACAUUUUGGUGGACGGUGAUCAGGAGAGCUCACGGCCUACUGUGCUUCAAAGUUUCCCCAAGUGUUUUCCUUCUAGCCAUUUUAAAAAUGAGAAAAUUGAGGCUUAAGGAGAUCAUGACUUGCCUGGGUAGCAGAGCUGGACCUGAAGCCUGCUUCUUUAGGCCCAGAGUCUAAGGUUCUUCCCCCAGUCUGAAUUUUCUUACUCUCCAUCUCUCUGUCGCUCCAUUUGUAGACCACGUGCAAACGUGUCCGUGUGAACUUCCUCUGACGUGCAUUUAAGUUGAUAGAGAUGCAUGGAUGGGGCAGGCUCUGUGUGUGUGACUGCGCAGAUAUGUGUGCGAGUGUGGGAAUAGUGAUGUCAUCGGCAGGAUAGAGAACUUCCAGGAAAGACGUUUUCCCCACCAACACAAACCAAUAAUAUUUGGGAGCUUUUAGGCAUCGAAGAGUUAAGCUGCCUGUCAAGCCCCAAAGUAGAAGUCAGAGGCAAGAGUUAAAUCCGGGUUUUCCUGACUCACCCCUGCGUUCUACCCAUUAGCCCUUGCCCUUCUCACACUUGGUUCUGGAGGACAACUCGUAGACCCCCUUUCCAUAAUCUAUCCGUUACAUAUCUGGUGUAUUGCAUUGUACUGAUUAAUUUUUAAGAAAAUGUCUUGGGUCACUUAACUUUAGGGGAAAAAAAGUUUUAGAUAUAAGCCAGAGCUCAUUUCAGAGAUAAGCCAUCUGCCCAGACUGACCCGUGGGACCCCAGGAUGGUCCGGGACCAAGGUGGCAAACCCCGGCCCUGACAGGAGGGCCUGCGGCGUCUCCACAGGGUUCCUGGGGAGGGGAGGGAUAGGUCACUUUCUCCAUUCCCACUCUCCUUUUCAGUUGCUUUUCUUUUGUCUUGACCUCUGGCUCAUUGACCCUUAAAGCCCCAGCCCCUGAUGGUGCAACCAAGCAUGUCCUUGUCGGGCCCGGAGUGCCUCCGCAGGAUGGGAGAGGAGAGCAUGAGGGUAGAGGGCAGAGAGAGGGGACACGUGUUCUUGGCCAUUGGGCCCUUUCCAAGACAGGUGAACUCUGUGUUCAAAAAGGAGCUAAUUUAAUCUCUUGGCUCCAGUGUGCUUUCUCAAUCUUCCCCAGCCUGCCCCCCCCCCCCCACGCACACACACCUUUAAAGAAUUUAAUCUGCUCAACAACAAACAAUACUGUUAUAAAACUUUGAAAACAAGAGGGCGAGGUCUCCCCGACAAGAGGAGAAGUGCAUGUUGGGUAACGGCCGGAGGGAGAGUGCCAGGCCUGGGAUAGAGCCGGGCGAGAGCCCAGUUGGCUUGGUACCUGGGCACCCGCCCCCACCAGCAGCGUCAUUGCUGACAGGAGGGGGAGACAUCAAAGUUCAGUCAGGGAUCUCUCUCCCCCUCCCUCCUUCUCCUUUCCUCUCCCUCUCUUCUGUCUCUUUUCCCUCCCUCCCUCCUUUCCCCCUCUUUCUCUCUCUCUCUUGUCUCUCUCACAAUCUAUUUCAUUCCCUUCUCUUUCCCUCCAUCCUUUCUCUCCCUCCCUCCUUCCCCACCCCAUUCUCUCUCUUUCCUUCCCUCCUUUUUGCCUCCUCUCCCCUUCCCCCCCCCCCCCCCCCCCAUGGGAAUUCACCAGACUGUGAAACUUCCUCCUCCACCCCUCCCUCCCCGACUCGCUGUUCCUGGUCAUAAGACUGGCAGAGACAGGUCCUGAUAGCAGAGCAGGCCGGUGGGCAGCCGCCCCGCCGCUCGCCACAUGGUGCUUUAGGGGAAGCAGGCGAGGGGCGCGCUCACCGGGCGCUGGGCUCCGGACCUACCCCAUGACCGGCCGGGCCCGGCCCCGCUCCCCCCCCCCCCCAGGAGCAAAGUGGAGCGGCGUCACUGGGCGUGCCCGGCUCGGUGUGCCGCCUGCCAGGUGUGCCAGGCAGUGGGCAGAGCUGCCAGGCUGAGGCUGGCCGACGUGCCCAGCGCUUCCAGGGCGAGAAAGAAGGGGCGCAGGGGGCUGCACUAGGGAGGCCUCUGACCUGUCAGAACCCUUUCCUCAGGGCUGGGAGUCCUUUGGAAGAAGUGGAAGCUGUGCCGGGGACACCGGCACCUGGCCGACUCCUGAGAGCGUGAGGACGACGGGGCUUCCUCCAGCCGCGGCCUCCUGGGGAGCAGGUGCCCAGCCGAGAGUGCCCGGUAGGAGACAGCCCGCCCCGAGGGGCCGGGGAGGGGGGGCCGGGCUCCCCCAGCUCGGGGCCUGGGGAGCGAGCACAUGGAGCCCGGGGCCUCCCCAGGCUCCUCCCUCCGGGCUCCUCCUGACAUUGCCCCAGCCCCGGCCUGUUGGCUCUCCCGGGCUGCGGUUUCACUUUUGAAUCGGCCUUCCCCGGAGAGGGCCUUAAUCCUCCGGUGUGUGUCUGAGACUUUGGGCCCGGACUCGGAGGCCCACCUGUUGGGGCGGCGACCCCUGUGCGCGCCCCCGGAAGGGUCUUCGCUCCUCCGGGAGCACCGGGAGGGCACCAGCUUCCUUUCCCUGCCCCGUGCCUGGGCCUUUCCGGGGCGCUCUCACACACACGGGCAUCCCCCCUUGGAGCCAGACCCAGAAGCCUCUCCUUCCCCCUCAGGAAACCAGAGAGCCGGUGCCGGGGACCUCACACAGUGAUUUCCUGACAGAGGGCCUCCCUUUGUGGGUUAGCCUGCACCUUCUGGGCUUUGUCAUUGGGAGCUAGAACGGCCGUGCGGAGGCCCCGGUGGUCCUGCCCCUCCCCUCCCCCCCCCCCCCCCGGAGGCGGGCCCCCGCCCCGCCCCCGUGCCUGCAGGACGGGAAGGCCCCCCCAGGGCGAUCGCAAAAGGGUCCCCUCGAGUCCCAGCCCCCCGCGAGGCAGCCGGGGGAGCCGGAGUCAGGGCCCAGGAGGGAGGCCCGGGGCCGCGUGCUCCGGCUGGGAUGUAAGGGCCAAGCCGGGGCGAGCUGGGAGCAGAGCUGGCCCCGCCCCCUGCAGACCCAGACCCCGUGUCCCCGCCGCGUGGGGCCUGGCGAGGCCCGGAGCGGCGUUUCCUGCCGGACUCCCGGGGCCGGCCCGGAGCGGGGCUUUUCUGCGUCCUUUGCGCCCACCCCUCGGCGGCUGUGAGCCGGCGCCGGAGGCACGGGCAGGACGGAGAAGCUGCUGCUGCUGUCGGGGGAGUCUCUGCGGGCCCUGAGGCGGGCCGGGGAGGACGGGCGGCCCCCCCAGGGCUCUCUCCCCCGCUUCCCACAAGUUCUCCAUCCCUCCUUAGCCGAGUACUUAUCAGGGACCGGCUCCAUGCGCGGUGCUGGGGGAGGCCCAGGAACCGCGGAGCCCCCGCCGGUUCUGCAGCUGUGCUUUCUCCCUUUGGGGAGGCAAUGGAGCGGCCGCCUCUGUGCUCGGGUCCUCCCGCCCGCAGGGCGGCGCUCUCACUCCGCCGGCCCUCCCUGCGUGUAGGUCUGCCACCCGAGAUCUCCUGGGUCCGGCUUUUCCUCAGACGGACAGACCCCCUCCCUCUCAUUUUGGUCGGCGCCACUAGGGGUACGGCGUGGGAGAGCCCCGUCCUCCGGUCAAUGCGCCGCCGGGCUGGAGGCUUCGGUUAGCCACAGCCUCAGGCAGUGGGGGGUGGGGAGGGAGGGAAGGGCCGGCUCUUUGAGUAAAAUGUAAGAUCUCCUUGGGCCUUUGCAUCCCCAGGGCCCUGCACACAGAGGACACAUCAAUAAAUGCGUUAGGGCCGCUAGGGGACGCUGCGGAGGGAGCCCCAGCCCGGAAGUCAGGAGGCCCCGAGUUCAAAUCCAGCCUCGGACACUUAACGCCUCCUGGCUGUGUGACCCCGGGCAAGUCACUUAACCCCAGCUGCCUCAGCGAACAUAGAUAAAGGUGUUAGAUCUCAGGUGCGAUGCACCUCGGCUGGUUGGGUUGCAGGAAGGCCGCGGGCCCGGUCAGGGACGGCUUGCGGAGAGGACAGACGCCCUGGGGGGGGGGGGGGGGGUUAGAGGA